GGGUCUAGCAAGCUAUUAACAUAGCAGGGGAUAAGAAAAUCUUAAUUAAACAGAACUUGCAAUUAAGAAAGCCUAAAUAGGGCUCUCUUUACAGGAAGUGUUUAUGGAAGCCUGUGCAAGUCACAUGGAGGGAGGUGUGACUAGGGUUCAUAGACAAAGGGAUUUAACUCCUAAAUGGCAGAGAAUUGAGCAGUGAGGCUGCAGGGGCAUGUUCUAUACACCCAAACUGCUUCAUUAAGCUUAAGUUGUUCAGGUGACUAUAUAGUGUCCCUUUAAUUCACAUCACCUUCCCCUUCUACUAAUCUAACGGCUAUCAAACUAGCAUUCUACGUCACUGGUAUGAUCAACAACAGACGAAAAGAAAUUGCCUCUUUAUCCUCAGACUGUCUGGCAUCCUCUACACAAAAAAAGUCUUCUCUAGUUUCUGAACUUCUACUUUAUUCCUGUUCUUCUGUGUGACUCCUUAAACCCUCGAUCUCACAUCAGUGACAAUUUAAUCUUUUACUAGACUUAUUCUCCCUCUUUCCUCUGGCAUUUUUCCCCUUGUACUUCAAACACCCAUACUACAAAGUCUUCUCUUGACCUAGAUGCUUUGCUUAGCUAUCCCUUUGCUUCCAAACUCCUUGAAAUGCUUCCUUAAACAUAGCAUGGGUCACAAACUGAUCCAUACUCCUUACUUGACCCACUAGUGUGGCUUCCCCUCCCAACAUUCCACUGCCCUGACCAAGGUAACUAAUGACUGUCACAGUAAAAUCUAGUGACGACUAUUCGCUACUUAAUGUUUCUGCAGCUUUCGACACAGUUGACUACUUGCUUCUCCUUCAAAACCUUAGUGUGUUUUCUUCCUGUAGGUCUAACCGCUCCUUUAAGGUCUUCUCUGGUUCCUACUCCCCUUCUGUACCUCUCAGUGUGAGUUCCUAAAGGUUCGGAGCUCUUUUUUCAAUUUAGAUUUCCUAUCUUGGUGACAUAUCAUCCCAUGGCUUUCAAUAUCACUUCUACGCUGAUUAUAUUCAGACUCCGCUUCUCUCAUCUUUCUAUCUGAUGGAAGAUCUCACCAGCUACCUAUCUAUUUCUGACUACAUAACUACAAAAAAACAAAACAAACCUACUUGCCUGUCCUCCCUCUAAGGCUACAUUUGGAAGGAAACUGGAGAGGGAGAAGAAGGAAACUGGAGAGGGAGAAGAAGGAAACUGGAGAGGGAGAAGAAGGAAACUGGAGAGGGAGAAGAAGGAAACUGGAGAGGGAGAAGAAGGAAACUGGAGAGGGAGAAGAAGGAAACUGGAGAGGGAGAAGAAGGAAACUGGAGAGGGAGAAGAAGGAAACUGGAGAGGGAGAAGGGGAGA
Molecule: non-coding RNA, 1344 nt
Organism: Pelobates cultripes (western spadefoot toad)
Lineage: Eukaryota; Metazoa; Chordata; Amphibia; Anura; Pelobatidae
Source: the annotation of a GenBank genome assembly